UUAAGUUCAGCGGGUAGUCCUACCUGAUUUGAGAUCAAACAUUCAAAGGGCUGUCCUCACAGAGGAGAGACAUUUGUAAGCUCCAGUGAACCUCCACUGCUGAAGGUUACCCUGGUGGAAAACCACAAGCGUAGAUAGUUAUCACACCUGUGAUGCCCACCAAAAACUGGCAAGCUGAUUCAUUUGAGAGGAGCCGACCA
This 200-nucleotide unclassified non-coding RNA is filed under the name Tomentella sp. RNAcentral's name for it is "partial internal transcribed spacer 2". The record is from RNAcentral. Lineage: Eukaryota; Fungi; Basidiomycota; Agaricomycetes; Thelephorales; Thelephoraceae.